AUCAUUGCAGUGAAGGUAUUCUAAGUGAUGGGAAGCAGGCUUAGGGAGGAGACGCAGUCAGAGUCCUUGAGCCUGGCCCUGGGUGUGAUUGGAGGAAAGGGCUCAAGCCUUAUGAGGGUCUCAGGGCCUGGAUAGGGUGGUUUACUUGGGACUAGGAAGAGCUUCUCAGAGUGGGCUUGUGGGAAUCGGGAAGUCUUUGAACUGCGAUCCCUCCGCCUUAGCAGAAUCCCGCGCUGUGCUUGCAGAUCCCAGGAUUGAGAGAGCAUGGCCCCUGGGAGCAGCAGACCCCCAGCCCAGGAGAUGGUGACAUUCAAGGAUGUGGCUGUGGACUUCACCCAGGAGGAGUGGGGCCUCUUGGACCCUCCUCAGAAGGAGCUGUACAAGGAAGUCAUACUGGAGAAUGCCCAGAACCUGCUCUCCCUG
Dromiciops gliroides (monito del monte) is the source of this 423-nucleotide long non-coding RNA. RefSeq lists it as uncharacterized. NCBI's taxonomy places the organism in Eukaryota, Metazoa, Chordata, Mammalia, Microbiotheria, Microbiotheriidae. The record is from RefSeq and is a predicted model, not a curated record. The transcript has 3 exons.